UUACUUGAUAUUGACUGUAUACACUUGCACAAACUCGAGCAUUACACAUCUGUAAGUAUGAACAAAUUCAGACAGUGAAACUACGAAUGGAUCAUUAAAUUAGUUAAAGUUUGUUUGAGGGUAUUUGCUACUCAGAUAACCGUAGUAAUUCUAAAACUUAUACAUACAAACAACCUUAACUUAUGGAAAGGGAUGCAUUUAUUAGAUAAAACAUCAACACGGACUUUGCUCGUUGCUCUGAUGAUUCAUGAUAACUUGACGGAUCGCACAACCUUUGUGCCGGUAAUGCAUCAUUAAAAUUUCUGCCCUAUCAACUUUUGAUGGUAGGAUACUGGCACUAUGGUGGUGACAGUGACAAAGAAUUAGGGUUCAAUUCUAGAGAGGGAUCCUGAGAAACGGCUACCAUAUCCAAGGUAAGCAGCAAGCGCACAAAUUUCCCAAUCCUGACACGGAGAGGUAGUGACAAUUAAUAACAAUACCAGGCUCUAUGAGGUUUGUAAUUAGAAUGAGUACAAUCUAAAUCCCUUAAAGAGGAUCCAUUGGAGGGAAAGUCUUGUGCCAGCAGUUGUGGUAAUUCUAGGUCCAAUAACGUAUAUUUAAGAUGUUGCAGUUAAAAAUCUCAUAGUUGGACUUAGAGGUGGGUCGGUCGAUCCGCCUUACGGUGAGAACUGGUCUACUCAUCCCUAUUGCCGACGAUGCGCUCCUAGCCUUAAUUGGUCGAGUUGUUCCUCCGACGUUGUUACUUUGAAAAAAUAGAAUGCUCAAAGAAGGAUUACACUUGUAUACAUUAGCAUGGGAUACCAUCAUAGGAUUUCGAUCCUAAUUUGUUCGCCUUCAAGAUUGGAGUAAUGAUUAACAGGGAUAGUCGGGGACGUUCAUAUUUCAUAGUCAAUGGUAAAAUUCUUGGAUUUAUAAAAUACGAACAACUACGAAAGCACUUAAAAAUGAUGUUUUCAUUAAUCAAGAAUAAAAGUUGGGGACUCGAAGACGAUCAGAUACCAUCCUAGUCUCAACUAUAAAUGAUGCCAACUAGGGAUCGAUAGAUUUUUCUUUUAGGACUCCGUUAGCACCUUAUGAGAAAUCAAAGUCUUUUGGUUAUG
Molecule: non-coding RNA, 1100 nt
Filed under: Gossypium hirsutum (cotton)
Lineage: Eukaryota; Viridiplantae; Streptophyta; Magnoliopsida; Malvales; Malvaceae
Description: Eukaryotic small subunit ribosomal RNA
Rfam family: Eukaryotic small subunit ribosomal RNA
Source: Rfam by way of RNAcentral